This 69-nucleotide transfer RNA is filed under the name Tiarina fusus. RNAcentral describes it as "Tiarina fusa tRNA". The record is from RNAcentral. Lineage: Eukaryota; Ciliophora; Prostomatea; Prorodontida; Colepidae.
GUAUUCAGUAAAAUCUCUGGAAUUUCGAAGGUUUAAAACUAUUUUUAUCCAGAGGGCUAAUCAAAUUAU